Molecule: long non-coding RNA, 503 nt
Filed under: Mytilus galloprovincialis (Mediterranean mussel)
Lineage: Eukaryota; Metazoa; Mollusca; Bivalvia; Mytilida; Mytilidae
Source: RNAcentral
GUAAUAAAAAUGCAAUAAAAAGUUAGUAUGAUACAUAAAAAUAUAAACUGAGAUCGAAUAAAACUGUCCGAGUAUUAAUUAUGUUGAAAAGCCUGUCUGAAUAAAUAAGUUUUUAUGUUUUCUUGAAAGCAUUCACAGAUUCAGUGUUUCACAAUUCUUUCGGCAAGUCAUUCCAUAAAACGGCGGCCGCUCUAUCAAACCGUCUCUCUCCGUAUGUUUUGUUUCUUACUAUUGGUUUGACUAGAAGCAUGUUGUUUUCUGACCGAAGAGUUCUUGUUGGCUUGUAAAUGUUAACUAGAUCUUGAAGGUACACGGGUGCUUCUUGUUUCAGAGCUUUAAACACAUAAAGCAACACUUUGUAUUUGCAUCGAUAUGCUACCGGCAGCCAAUGAAGAGAUUUUAAAAUUGGACUAACGUGUUCGUUUUUCUUCUUUCUUGUUAUUAAUUUUGCGGCGGUGUUUUGGACACGCUGUAAUCGUUGGAUUGCAUUUGCGGGAAGUCCA